This is a small nuclear RNA of Suncus etruscus (white-toothed pygmy shrew), 107 nucleotides long. The record is from RefSeq and is a predicted model, not a curated record. Lineage: Eukaryota; Metazoa; Chordata; Mammalia; Eulipotyphla; Soricidae.
GUGCUCGCUUUGGCAGCACAUAUACUAAAAUUGGAACAAUACAGAAAAGAUUAGCAUGGCCCCUGUGCAAGGAUGAACUGUUUUCGAAUCUAAUUCCCUAAAGCCAA